RNAcentral lists this ribosomal RNA (1343 nucleotides) under uncultured bacterium. RNAcentral describes it as "16S ribosomal RNA". It matches the Rfam family "Bacterial small subunit ribosomal RNA", at positions 28 to 1378 of the family's 1533-position model. The record is from RNAcentral.
GACGAACGCUGGCGGCGUGCUUAACACAUGCAAGUCGAACGGAAAGGCCCUGCUUUUGUGGGGUGCUCGAGUGGCGAACGGGUGAGUAACACGUGAGUAACCUGCCCUUGACUUUGGGAUAACUUCAGGAAACUGGGGCUAAUACCGGAUAGGAGCUCCUGCUGCAUGGUGGGGGUUGGAAAGCUUCGGCGGUUGGGGAUGGACUCGCGGCUUAUCAGCUUGUUGGUGGGGUAGUGGCUUACCAAGGCUUUGACGGGUAGCCGGCCUGAGAGGGUGACCGGCCACAUUGGGACUGAGAUACGGCCCAGACUCCUACGGGAGGCAGCAGUGGGGAAUAUUGCACAAUGGGCGGAAGCCUGAUGCAGCAACGCCGCGUGCGGGAUGACGGCCUUCGGGUUGUAAACCGCUUUCGCCUGUGACGAAGCGUGAGUGACGGUAAUGGGUAAAGAAGCACCGGCUAACUACGUGCCAGCAGCCGCGGUGAUACGUAGGGUGCGAGCGUUGUCCGGAUUUAUUGGGCGUAAAGGGCUCGUAGGUGGUUGAUCGCGUCGGAAGUGUAAUCUUGGGGCUUAACCCUGAGCGUGCUUUCGAUACGGGUUGACUUGAGGGAGGUAGGGGAGAAUGGAAUUCCUGGUGGAGCGGUGGAAUGCGCAGAUAUCAGGAGGAACACCAGUGGCGAAGGCGGUUCUCUGGGCCUUUCCUGACGCUGAGGAGCGAAAGCGUGGGGAGCGAACAGGCUUAGAUACCCUGGUAGUCCACGCUGUAAACGGUGGGUACUAGGUGUGGGGUCCAUUCCACGGGUUCCGUGCCGUAGCUAACGCUUUAAGUACCCCGCCUGGGGAGUACGGCCGCAAGGCUAAAACUCAAAGGAACUGACGGGGCCCCGCACAAGCGGCGGAGCAUGCGGAUUAAUUCGAUGCAACGCGUAGAACCUUACCUGGGUUUGACAUGGAUCGGGAGUGCUCAGAGAUGGGUGUGCCUCUUUUGGGGUCGGUUCACAGGUGGUGCAUGCCUGUCGUCAGCUCGUGUCGUGAGAUGUUGGGUUAAGUCCCGCAACGAGCGCAACCCUUGUUCACUGUUGCCAGCACGUUAUGGUGGGGACUCAGUGGAGACCGCCGGGGUCAACUCGGAGGAAGGUGGGGAUGACGUCAAGUCCUCAUGCCCCUUAUGUCCAGGGCUUCACGCAUGCUACAAUGGCUGGUACAGAGAGUGGCGAGCCUGUGAGGGUGAGCGAAUCUCGGAAAGCCGGUCUCAGUUCGGAUUGGGGUCUGCAACUCGACCUCAUGAAGUCGGAGUCGCUAGUAAUCGCAGAUCAGCAACGCUGCGGUGAAUAAGUUCCCGGG